Molecule: ribosomal RNA, 431 nt
Filed under: uncultured rumen bacterium
Lineage: Bacteria
Description: bacterial SSU rRNA
Rfam family: Bacterial small subunit ribosomal RNA
Source: RNAcentral
GCUAAGAAUAUUCCGCAAUGGACGAAAGUCUGACGGAGCGACGCCGCGUGGAUGAUGAAGGCCGGAAGGUUGUAAAAUCCUUUUAUGACUGAGGAAUAAGUUUUCUGAGAGAAACGGAAGAUGGUGACUGUAGGUCAUGAAUAAGCAACGGCUAAUUACGUGCCAGCAGCCGCGGUAACACGUAAGUUGCGAGCGUUGUUCGGAAUUAUUGGGCGUAAAGGGUAUGUAGGCGGUUCUGCAAGUCUGGUGUGAAAUGCCGGGGCUCAACCCCGGAACUGCGUUGGAAACUGCAGGACUUGAAUCGCUGAGGGGCAGCCAGAAUUCCAGGUGUAGGGGUGAAAUCUGUAGAUAUCUGGAAGAAUACCAAUGGCGAAGGCAGGCUGCCAGCAGAUGAUUGACGCUGAGGUACGAAGGUGCGGGGAGCAAACAGG